UACGUAGGGGGCAAGCGUUAUCCGGAUUUACUGGGUGUAAAGGGAGCGUAGACGGCGUAUCAAGUCUGAUGUGAAAGGCAUGGGCUCAACCCGUGGACUGCAUUUGAAACUGUUUUUCUUGAGUACCGGAGAGGUCAUCGGAAUUCCUUGUGUAGCGGUGAAAUGCGUAGAUAUCAGGAGGAACACCGGUGGCGAAGGCGGCCAACUGGGCUUUAACUGACGCUGAGGCUCGAAAGUGUGGGGAGCAA
RNAcentral lists this ribosomal RNA (248 nucleotides) under uncultured Ruminiclostridium sp. RNAcentral describes it as "partial 16S ribosomal RNA". It matches the Rfam family "Bacterial small subunit ribosomal RNA", at positions 524 to 771 of the family's 1533-position model. The record is from RNAcentral. Lineage: Bacteria; Bacillati; Bacillota; Clostridia; Eubacteriales; Oscillospiraceae.